Molecule: ribosomal RNA, 321 nt
Filed under: Triticum aestivum (bread wheat)
Lineage: Eukaryota; Viridiplantae; Streptophyta; Magnoliopsida; Poales; Poaceae
Description: partial small subunit ribosomal RNA
Source: RNAcentral
AUGAGUAAAAGAAAUAAGACAUUGAUUUUUUUUUUCAAGUUCGAACCACCGAAACCAACUAGACUCAUUCAUCCGGGAAGCAAGAGUGGAAAGAGCAUUCUCAAGACUGGAUUAAGGAACAAAAUGGGUGAUGAUUGGAUGAAUCAUAGAAUGGUGUGUUACAUUGAGCGAGAUGUAUUUGUUAGUAUUGAAGAAUCAAAGAUUAUCGAGCGAUUUCAAGGUUAUCGCACACGUAAAGGCGUUUUGCCUCGUCCUAGACGUUUAGCUUCUUCUGCUAUCGAAGAUGUAGUCAUGGAAGGCUCAGAUCAACCAAUCCUUUGA